CAUAAGCCAGCUUGACUGCGAGCGUGACGGCGCGAGCAGGUGCGAAAGCAGGUCAUAGUGAUCCGGUGGUUCUGAAUGGAAGGGCCAUCGCUCAACGGAUAAAAGGUACUCCGGGGAUAACAGGCUGAUACCGCCCAAGAGUUCAUAUCGACGGCGGUGUUUGGCACCUCGAUGUCGGCUCAUCACAUCCUGGGGCUGAAGUAGGUCCCAAGGGUAUGGCUGUUCGCCAUUUAAAGUGGUACGCGAGCUGGGUUUAGAACGUCGUGAGACAGUUCGGUCCCUAUCUGCCGUGGGCGCUGGAGAACUGAGGGGGGCUGCUCCUAGUACGAGAGGACCGGAGUGGACGCAUCACUGGUGUUCGGGUUGUCAUGCCAAUGGCACUGCCCGGUAGCUAAAUGCGGAAGAGAUAAGUGCUGAAAGCAUCUAAGCACGAAACUUGCCCCGAGAUGAGUUCUCCCUGACCCUUUAAGGGUCCUGAAGGAACGUUGAAGACGACGACGUUGAUAGGCCGGGUGUGUAAGCGCAGCGAUGCGUUGAGCUAACCGGUACUAAUGAACCGUGAGGCUUAACCUU
RNAcentral lists this ribosomal RNA (573 nucleotides) under Escherichia coli. RNAcentral's name for it is "partial 23S ribosomal RNA". It matches the Rfam family "Bacterial large subunit ribosomal RNA", at positions 2358 to 2925 of the family's 2925-position model. RNAcentral also lists the same sequence under 1 other name. The record is from RNAcentral. Lineage: Bacteria; Pseudomonadati; Pseudomonadota; Gammaproteobacteria; Enterobacterales; Enterobacteriaceae.